AGCCGAACAGGCGGAAGAUUUGGGCCCGCGGCUGCUUCAGCCAGUCGGAGACGGCUGCAAGCGCCGCGUCCUGCUGCGGCGACCA
RNAcentral lists this transfer RNA (85 nucleotides) under Hansschlegelia plantiphila. Its description in RNAcentral is "tRNA-Sec". Lineage: Bacteria; Pseudomonadati; Pseudomonadota; Alphaproteobacteria; Hyphomicrobiales; Methylopilaceae. The record is from RNAcentral.